CACAUUAUUCGCACCAUUCAUCGAAUGGUGGGUUAGCGCGCGUCCGAAAGCAGUCACAGCAAACCCGCCCCGUGAGGCGGGUUUU
This 85-nucleotide small RNA is filed under the name Burkholderia pseudomallei. RNAcentral describes it as "Pseudomonas sRNA P9". It matches the Rfam family "Pseudomonas sRNA P9". Rfam says of the family: P9 appears to be conserved in several Pseudomonas species in addition to Bordetella spp. In both Pseudomonas and Bordetella spp P9 appears to be located upstream of a predicted threonine dehydratase gene. P9 has a predicted Rho independent terminator at the 3' end but the function of P9 is unknown. The record is from RNAcentral. Lineage: Bacteria; Pseudomonadati; Pseudomonadota; Betaproteobacteria; Burkholderiales; Burkholderiaceae. RNAcentral also lists the same sequence under 1 other name.